RNAcentral lists this non-coding RNA (26 nucleotides) under Homo sapiens (human). Lineage: Eukaryota; Metazoa; Chordata; Mammalia; Primates; Hominidae. The record is from RNAcentral.
UAUCGAGGAUAAGGUCCACAUGCCAA